RNAcentral lists this ribosomal RNA (769 nucleotides) under uncultured bacterium. RNAcentral describes it as "SSU rRNA". It matches the Rfam family "Bacterial small subunit ribosomal RNA", at positions 73 to 853 of the family's 1533-position model. The record is from RNAcentral.
GCAGAGCUUGCUCUGUGGAUCAGUGGCGAACGGGUGAGUAACACGUGAGCAACCUGCCCUUGACUCUGGGAUAAGCGCUGGAAACGGCGUCUAAUACCGGAUAUGAGCUGCGAUCGCAUGGUCAGCAGUUGGAAAGAUUUUUCGGUCUGGGAUGGGCUCACGGCCUAUCAGCUUGUUGGUGAGGUAAUGGCUCACCAAGGCGUCGACGGGUAGCCGGCCUGAGAGGGUGACCGGCCACACUGGGACUGAGACACGGCCCAGACUCCUACGGGAGGCAGCAGUGGGGAAUAUUGCACAAUGGGCGAAAGCCUGAUGCAGCAACGCCGCGUGAGGGAUGACGGCCUUCGGGUUGUAAACCUCUUUUAGCAGGGAAGAAGCGAAAGUGACGGUACCUGCAGAAAAAGCGCCGGCUAACUACGUGCCAGCAGCCGCGGUAAUACGUAGGGCGCAAGCGUUAUCCGGAAUUAUUGGGCGUAAAGAGCUCGUAGGCGGUUUGUCGCGUCUGCUGUGAAAUCCCGAGGCUCAACCUCGGGUCUGCAGUGGGUACGGGCAGACUAGAGUGCGGUAGGGGAGAUUGGAAUUCCUGGUGUAGCGGUGGAAUGCGCAGAUAUCAGGAGGAACACCGAUGGCGAAGGCAGAUCUCUGGGCCGUUACUGACGCUGAGGAGCGAAAGGGUGGGGAGCAAACAGGCUUAGAUACCCUGGUAGUCCACCCCGUAAACGUUGGGAACUAGUUGUGGGGUCCAUUCCACGGAUUCCGUGACGCAGCU